CCAUAGCAACAGUGGCAUGAUACCUGACAAAAUGUGUGUCAGAAUCUUAAUACUAACUCUAAACACUCUGCUGUUUUCAGGAUCUUCUCUCAGUAAUCAAGUCCGCCAGACUCCACUUUACAUCCAGGCAAAUCCAGGAAACUCAGCCAAUAUCAACUGCUCUCACAGCAUUCAGAACUACAACGUUAUGCUUUGGUACAAGAGAUCAGAGGACAGGCAGCUCCAGCUUCUAGGUUAUAGGUAUUUGGGCAGCAGUACCUAUGAAUCUGGAGCGAAAGUGGAGAUUGAAGGGAGUGCAGACAAAGACAAGAACUGCACUCUGACAAUACAGGAGCUCAGUGUGAGCAGCAGUGCUGUUUACUUCUGUGCUGCUAGCUACCACAGUGAUGCAUAUCACUGCUCCUCAGUGCAAAAACCUCAACCUUCACUGAAAACCUAUAUAUAG
Non-coding RNA from Cyprinodon tularosa, 445 nucleotides. The record is from the annotation of a RefSeq genome assembly. NCBI's taxonomy places the organism in Eukaryota, Metazoa, Chordata, Actinopteri, Cyprinodontiformes, Cyprinodontidae.